RNAcentral lists this ribosomal RNA (563 nucleotides) under uncultured fungus. RNAcentral describes it as "eukaryotic LSU rRNA". The stretch from base 217 to 370 matches the Rfam family "5.8S ribosomal RNA". The record is from RNAcentral. Lineage: Eukaryota; Fungi.
AAGUCGUAACAAGGUCUCCGUUGGUGAACCAGCGGAGGGAUCAUUACAGAGUUGCAGGACUCCCAAACCCUUGUGAAUAUACCCGUUACCGUUGCUUCGGCGGGCGGCCCCAGGGCGGGGCCGUUGCCUCCCCGUUGCGGAGGUGCUCGCCAGAAGCCCAACCACAAUACUCUUGUCUUACCACGGCAUCUCUGAGUAAAACAUUCAAUAAGUCAAAACUUUCAACAACGGAUCUCUUGGUUCUGGCAUCGAUGAAGAACGCAGCGAAAUGCGAUAAGUAAUGUGAAUUGCAGAAUUCAGUGAAUCAUCGAAUCUUUGAACGCACAUUGCGCCCGCCAGUAUUCUGGCGGGCAUGCCUGUUCGAGCGUCAUUUCAACCCUCAAGCCCUGCUUGGUGUUGGGGCCCUACGGGCUCCGUAGGCCCCGAAAACUAGUGGCGGGCUCGCUAUAACUCCGAGCGUAGUACAAGUAUCUCGCUAGGGAAGUGUGGCGGGCUCUCGCCGUAAAACCCCCAUCUCACAAAAGGUUGACCUCGGAUCAGGUAGGAAUACCCGCUGAACUUAA